This 1354-nucleotide ribosomal RNA is filed under the name uncultured bacterium. RNAcentral's name for it is "bacterial SSU rRNA". It matches the Rfam family "Bacterial small subunit ribosomal RNA", at positions 28 to 1381 of the family's 1533-position model. The record is from RNAcentral.
AUUGAACGCUGGCGGCAUGCCUUACACAUGCAAGUCGAACGGCAGCACGGAGCUUGCUCUGGUGGCGAGUGGCGAACGGGUGAGUAAUAUAUCGGAACGUACCCUGGAGUGGGGGAUAACGUAGCGAAAGUUACGCUAAUACCGCAUACGAUCUAAGGAUGAAAGUGGGGGACUCGCAAGAGCCUCAUGCUCGUGGAGCGGCCGAUAUCUGAUUAGCUAGUUGGUAGGGUAAAAGCCUACCAAGGCAUCGAUCAGUAGCUGGUCUGAGAGGACGACCAGCCACACUGGAACUGAGACACGGUCCAGACUCCUACGGGAGGCAGCAGUGGGGAAUUUUGGACAAUGGGCGCAAGCCUGAUCCAGCAAUGCCGCGUGAGUGAAGAAGGCCUUCGGGUUGUAAAGCUCUUUUGUCAGGGAAGAAACGGUGAGAGCUAAUAUCUUUUGCUAAUGACGGUACCUGAAGAAUAAGCACCGGCUAACUACGUGCCAGCAGCCGCGGUAAUACGUAGGGUGCAAGCGUUAAUCGGAAUUACUGGGCGUAAAGCGUGCGCAGGCGGUUUUGUAAGUCUGAUGUGAAAUCCCCGGGCUCAACCUGGGAAUUGCAUUGGAGACUGCAAGGCUAGAAUCUGGCAGAGGGGGGUAGAAUUCCACGUGUAGCAGUGAAAUGCGUAGAUAUGUGGAGGAACACCGAUGGCGAAGGCAGCCCCCUGGGUCAAGAUUGACGCUCAUGCACGAAAGCGUGGGGAGCAAACAGGAUUAGAUACCCUGGUAGUCCACGCCCUAAACGAUGUCUACUAGUUGUCGGGUCUUAAUUGACUUGGUAACGCAGCUAACGCGUGAAGUAGACCGCCUGGGGAGUACGGUCGCAAGAUUAAAACUCAAAGGAAUUGACGGGGACCCGCACAAACGGUGGAUGAUGUGGAUUAAUUCGAUGCAACGCGAAAAACCUUACCUACCCUUGACAUGGAUGGAAUCCCGAAGAGAUUUGGGAGUGCUCGAAAGAGAACCAUUACACAGGUGCUGCAUGGCUGUCGUCAGCUCGUGUCGUGAGAUGUUGGGUUAAGUCCCGCAACGAGCGCAACCCUUGUCAUUAGUUGCUACGAAAGGGCACUCUAAUGAGACUGCCGGUGACAAACCGGAGGAAGGUGGGGAUGACGUCAAGUCCUCAUGGCCCUUAUGGGUAGGGCUUCACACGUCAUACAAUGGUACAUACAGAGCGCCGCCAACCCGCGGGGGGGAGCUAAUCGCAGAAAGUGUAUCGUAGUCCGGAUUGUAGUCUGCAACUCGACUGCAUGAAGUUGGAAUCGCUAGUAAUCGCGGAUCAGCAUGUCGCGGUGAAUACGUUCCCGGGUCU